GCCUGGGGCAUGAAAAGAUGUGUCAACACAUGCCAUACUCGCACUGUUCUGCAGAACAUCACUAUUCUGCAUAAGAAAUUUAACUUUCCGGAGCCUCCAGAAAGGAGGCUUACCUUAGGGGAUCUUUAUCUUGGUUGCCAGUUUGAUGGGAUCUUGGAUCAAUCAAGAGAUGUGCUUCAACACUACUCUUCGAGGAGAUGCUACCCAGAAGGGAGAGCAGUACCAGCCCAGAUGUAGAGGUUGAGGGAAAAAUAUUGAUGCUUUUGCCUGCCUGCCGUUGGUCCUUGCUGGAAUCCCCUGAGCCUUUAGAAGCAGGCUGGGACCCGCUGCUGUGACAUUCAGCCUUGUGAACUGAACGGAUCCCACAUUCGGAGCCUCUCCAGUGCUCACACAACCACUCGGGACUACACAGACCUAUUGUGCAAGCCGUGUAAUAAAUCCCAACUUGUCAUGGUGUAUCCAGGACUUGCUACAGUGGGAGAAUUGGGAUCUGAGGAUGCCAGCUAAGAGGAAUUGGAACUAUAAAAUGCUGAAAUUCAACAGUAAGAAACCUGUGGAGAGCAUACAUGCCAGGAUCAGAAAGAUGGAUUCAGCCCUACAGCCCCAGGAUCACAAGGUUUGACUUGAAGACUGAGAGCUGUUCAGUGUGAACACCCGGAACAUCACAAAUUUCCCGAAUCCUACAGGGAGUUCUGCACGACACUACCUUGGGAAAGGCUUGUGAAAACUGCCAACCCCUUCUGCCAGGAAACAAUGACUAACUAUCCCAACAUCUACCCCACUGAUAAACUGCUGGAGUACUAGAGGGGCUGGUACCACAGAUCCAAAACAACAGGAUCUCCAUGACUCAAGGCAACAACAAGAUAUUCCAGAAGUCCCAGUGAUGUUCCUGUACUGAUAGAGUAGCAGAAGCCAGAGGCCUCCUACAAGAACAAUAAAUCGUAAUGAACUUUGAAUGCAAAGAAAUUUGUAGAAAGGGGAAUACUGUGGGACACAGUGGGACACAGUGGGAUACAC
This is a long non-coding RNA of Mus musculus (house mouse), 1017 nucleotides long. RefSeq annotates it as predicted gene, 31517. The record is from RefSeq and is a predicted model, not a curated record. The transcript has 5 exons. Lineage: Eukaryota; Metazoa; Chordata; Mammalia; Rodentia; Muridae.